UACCAUUUCAUUUCUUAAUGCUUCCUGC
RNAcentral lists this non-coding RNA (28 nucleotides) under Rattus norvegicus (Norway rat). Lineage: Eukaryota; Metazoa; Chordata; Mammalia; Rodentia; Muridae. The record is from RNAcentral.